AUACGUAGGGUGCGAGCGUUGUCCGGAAUUACUGGGCGUAAAGAGCUCGUAGGUGGUUUGUCGCGUCGUCUGUGAAAUUCCGGGGCUUAACUCCGGGCGUGCAGGCGAUACGGGCAUAACUUGAGUACUGUAGGGGAGACUGGAAUUCCUGGUGUAGCGGUGAAAUGCGCAGAUAUCAGGAGGAACACCGGUGGCGAAGGCGGGUCUCUGGGCAGUGACUGACGCUGAGUAGCGAAAGCAUGGGUAGCGAACAGGAUUAGAGACCCUGGUAGUCCAUGCCGUAAACGGUGGGCGCUAGGUGUAGGGGUCUUCCACGACUUCUGUGCCGUAGUUAACGCAAUAAGUACCCCGCCUGGGGAGUACGGCCGCAAGGCUUAAACUUAAAGGAAUUGACGGGG
RNAcentral lists this ribosomal RNA (398 nucleotides) under uncultured bacterium. Its description in RNAcentral is "partial 16S ribosomal RNA". It matches the Rfam family "Bacterial small subunit ribosomal RNA", at positions 523 to 918 of the family's 1533-position model. The record is from RNAcentral.